GAUGAACGCUAGCGGCAGGCUUAACACAUGCAAGUCGAGGGGCAGCGCGGGGCGGCAACGUCCUGGCGGCGACCGGCGGAAGGGUGCGUAACGCGUGAGCGACAUGCCCGUUGCCCGGGGACAACCGGUGGAAACGCCGACUAAUCCCCGAUGGGACGGAGGCCCUCAUGGGUCUCUGUUGAAAGUUACGGCGGCGACGGAUUGGCUCGCGUCCGAUUAGCUAGUUGGCGGGGUAACGGCCCACCAAGGCUACGAUCGGUAGGGGUUCUGAGAGGAAGGUCCCCCACAAUGGAACUGAGACACGGUCCAUACUCCUACGGGAGGCAGCAGUGAGGAAUAUUGGUCAAUGGGCGCAAGCCUGAACCAGCCAUCCCGCGUGAAGGAAGAAUGCGCUACGCGUUGUAAACUUCUUUUCCAGGGGGAGAAUAAUCCUGUCGUGACAGGACUUGACGGUACUCUGGGAAUAAGCAUCGGCUAACUCCGUG
RNAcentral lists this ribosomal RNA (485 nucleotides) under uncultured bacterium. Its description in RNAcentral is "bacterial SSU rRNA". It matches the Rfam family "Bacterial small subunit ribosomal RNA", at positions 28 to 507 of the family's 1533-position model. The record is from RNAcentral.